RNAcentral lists this ribosomal RNA (535 nucleotides) under Pseudosperma melliolens. Its description in RNAcentral is "partial small subunit ribosomal RNA". It matches the Rfam family "Bacterial small subunit ribosomal RNA", at positions 405 to 873 of the family's 1533-position model. Lineage: Eukaryota; Fungi; Basidiomycota; Agaricomycetes; Agaricales; Inocybaceae. The record is from RNAcentral.
AUCACAAAUCACAAAAGUGCUUAUUGUGAUCAUGUAAGGGAAAAAAUUGAUAUCACCUUACUAUAAGUGUUGUCUAAAUAACUGGUGCCAGAAGACUCGGUAACACCAGAAACGCGAACGUUAGUCGUCUUAAACAGGCGUAAAGGGUAAGUAGGCUGCUUUAAAUAUCUAUUAAAAAAAAAAAAGCUAAUUAAUAAAUUAACCUAAAUUUUUUCAGACCUGAAAUUAUAAUUUAAGGCUAACUAAUAAUGAAAAAGGUAAUUAUUAAAAAAAGAUAGAUACACUUAAAGCUAGAAUCAUAAUUGAGAUAAACCAAAUAAUACUUAUGUGUAAGGGCGAUAUCUGAAAAUACUAAGUAGAAUACUAACGGUGAAAACUUUUUAUCUAGGAAUGAUUGACGCUGAGGUACGAAAGUGAGAACAGGGAAUAGGAUUAGAUACCCAGUUACCUCUCACCGUCAACGAUGAAUGGUAGUUGUUAGUUUAAUUAAAUUAGUGACGAUGUUAACGCGAUAACCAUUCCGCCCUGAGUCGUG